This is a non-coding RNA of Camellia sinensis, 496 nucleotides long. Lineage: Eukaryota; Viridiplantae; Streptophyta; Magnoliopsida; Ericales; Theaceae. The record is from RefSeq and is a predicted model, not a curated record.
UGCACUACCUGCCAUGUCACCAGAUUGAAGAUAUAUGCUCUUGACAUUUCUGGUGAAAUUCCCAAUGAACUAUUCAUGUUAAAGGAACUGCAAAACUUGAAUUUGGCUCAAAAUGUAUUAAGUGGACCCAUCCCACCUGAAAUUGGACAGUUAACAAAUAUGAAUUACCUGUGGACUGCUAAGUUGCCUGUAUCGUUGAGCCGACUCUAAGGUAGCGGUUACUGUGGUCACCCCCAAAUUUGGGCACUUGCCGGUCGCCGCUCCUACCUUUCUUGUCAAGGAAAAGAAGAAGAAGAAAGGCUCAGUAAUAGAUAUCUCUUUUUAUGAUUGACCAAGUAAACAAUUUUAAUAAUGCAAUUAGAUGAACUCACUCAUUCCAAUUGAGGACAUAUUUGUAAAUUAUAUAUUGGUCAUCCCUUUUUUCUUUUUUGACAAAACAAACAGAGCGUUAAUCGCAUUCUAUUUACCUGUUAAAUCCUGAACUAUCGGAUAAUAA